RNAcentral lists this ribosomal RNA (460 nucleotides) under uncultured bacterium. RNAcentral's name for it is "partial 16S ribosomal RNA". It matches the Rfam family "Bacterial small subunit ribosomal RNA", at positions 338 to 795 of the family's 1533-position model. The record is from RNAcentral.
CCUACGGGAGGCAGCAGUGAGGAAUAUUGGUCAAUGGACGAGAGUCUGAACCAGCCAAGUAGCGUGAAGGAUGACUGCCCUAUGGGUUGUAAACUUCUUUUAUAAAGGAAUAAAACGAGGCACGCGUGCCUUUUUGCAUGUACUUUAUGAAUAAGGAUCGGCUAACUCCGUGCCAGCAGCCGCGGUAAUACGGAGGAUCCGAGCGUUAUCCGGAUUUAUUGGGUUUAAAGGGAGCGUAGAUGGGUUGUUAAGUCAGUGGGGAAAGUUUGCGGCUCAACCGUAAAAUUGCCAUUGAUACUGGCAGUCUUGAGUACAGGUGAGGUAAGCGGAAUGCGUGGUGUAGCGGUGAAAUGCUUAGAUAUCACGCAGAACCCCGAUUGCGAAGGCAGCUUACUAACUUCUGACUGACAUUGAGGCUCGAAAGUGUGGGUAUCAAACAGGAUUAGAUACCCCAGUAGUC